CUCCCUCCCUCUUGCGCGCNUGCUGCUGCUCUCUCCCCGCCCGCUCUCNGCGUCCGCUGCGCUCNCGCCGCCGCNCCUCCGCCCCGCCCCCCCCCCGCUCGUCCUCNCCUCCGCCCNCUCCUCUGCGCGCGCCCGCCGCGCCCUGCCGCCGCUCGCCCCCCUGCUCGCUUGCGCCUNCUGCCUGCGUUGCCCUGCUCGGGCACUCGAGCCCUGUCGUCCUCGCGGAAUGCCUCUUAGGGACUUUGUUAAAGUUUGGAUCCCAUGNGCCCCUCCCAGAUCCGAACCGGCUUGUGUAAGGCCAGGCCCUAAGCCACCACUUGGCAAAGUCCGCAGCCGUGCACUUGACCGCGUGGAUGGCUUUUGGCUAUCCCCUUUGGAAUAUCCACNCGCCCGGCGCUGUGGACCGUGCGGUUAGCAAGGUAAAACUUUGGCCCUNAGUGGAAAUUCCUUGGCCCUUAGGGGCUAAAGGUUUGNGGGGGGGGAACCAAAACCUGGUUUUUACUGGGACAAUNGUUGGAGAACCGGCCUUAGAAUUUAACCCGGGCCACUAAACCGCUUACCUUAAACCGCGGGGGAAAGGAAAAAAAAGGGCCAGGUGGGGUGGGAACCCUUUAUACCCGGAGUGUGGCGCCCCCUUAAUUGUAGACNCGCCNUUAAAAUAUCCCAAAGAGAAAUUAUGGAAGAGGAGCGCNUAAAUGUGGGUAUCNUCGGCGCACAUAUUAAACAGGNGCCCUUAAAGGCUUAUUUAUAGCAGGUAUAGGCAUCAGGGGCUAAACACAUUAUGGUGCCGUUACCCAAGCCCCGACAAAUGGGNUGGGUCCUCGGAGAACCGCUGGGAAAUUACCGCCGGGUUAAAANCCCUUCGGGUGGAUUANCCUUUAGGGAAAUGGAGCAACUGGCAGCGAAAUUUAGGGAAAUUUCCCAAAACGGUUUUCCCCAAAGACCGACCCGAUUAGGGGGGNAAACAAAACCCCUUAGNGGGAAAUGGAAAACCCAAACCCCAGUUGNGAGUGUAUCCCACCCCANAGGAAAACCCUUUUCCCUCCCCUUUAUAAAACCACNGUGGGUGGCGAACACGGCUAGAGAGCCCAACAGGCNCCCAAANCGAGNUUUGGGGGGCUGGGGGCGAAACAACUAUUAUAAACUUAUUUGUGAGGCGGCGAAACCCCACAAAACUUUAGGUGGGUUGGCNACC
Molecule: ribosomal RNA, 1195 nt
Filed under: uncultured bacterium
Lineage: Bacteria
Description: partial 16S ribosomal RNA
Source: RNAcentral